GAUGAACGCUGGCGGCGUGCCUAAUACAUGCAAGUCGAGCGAACAGAUAAGGAGCUUGCUCCUUUGACGUUAGCGGCGGACGGGUGAGUAACACGUGGAUAACCUACCUAUAAGACUGGGAUAACUUCGGGAAACCGGAGCUAAUACCGGAUAACAUAUUGAACCGCAUGGUUCAAUAGUGAAAGGCGGCUUUGCUGUCACUUAUAGAUGGAUCCGCGCCGCAUUAGCUAGUUGGUAAGGUAACGGCUUACCAAGGCAACGAUACGUAGCCGACCUGAGAGGGUGAUCGGCCACACUGGAACUGAGACACGGUCCAGACUCCUACGGGAGGCAGCAGUAGGGAAUCUUCCGCAAUGGGCGAAAGCCUGACGGAGCAACGCCGCGUGAGUGAUGAAGGUCUUCGGAUCGUAAAACUCUGUUAUCAGGGAAGAACAAAUGUGUAAGUAACUGUGCACAUCUUGACGGUACCUGAUCAGAAAGCCACGGCUAACUACGUG
This 497-nucleotide ribosomal RNA is filed under the name uncultured bacterium. RNAcentral describes it as "partial 16S ribosomal RNA". It matches the Rfam family "Bacterial small subunit ribosomal RNA", at positions 28 to 507 of the family's 1533-position model. The record is from RNAcentral.